RNAcentral lists this unclassified non-coding RNA (1698 nucleotides) under Hevea brasiliensis (rubber tree). The record is from RNAcentral. Lineage: Eukaryota; Viridiplantae; Streptophyta; Magnoliopsida; Malpighiales; Euphorbiaceae.
UUCAAGUUGAGCAAAGCCCAGUCUAAACCUUUGUCAUCCAAAACUAUGCUAAGGUGUAGGCCACCUCCAUUGCUCUCCCUAAUGAUAAUAUCAUCUCCUUCUCAUCCCUUAAACCCUGCUGCUCGCCUCAGAUUUGUCUUUGUUUCCAAAUCACCCUCUCAAAUCCCUAAUUCCUCUUACCAUCGCCCUCCUCUUUUUUCUAAGAUUUAUCUUUUUAAUUUCCCUCAAAACAUGACAUUCCCCAAGUGCUUCUUUGCUUCUGGGUAUGCUCCUGCUGAUCCCGUUCCCAUUUCCGGAACUACUGAAUUCAAUGACCCAAACCCUCAAUCAACUCUGGUGGUGGUAUCAUUCUAUAAAUUCGCUGAUUUUCCUGACUAUGCGAAUCUGCGAAAGCCAUUGAAAGAGCUCUGCGAGGAACUGCGUGUUUCAGGCGGUAUCAUUCUUGCACCUGAGGGAAUCAAUGGAAGUAUAUGUGGGACCAGGGAGUCAGUGGAAAGAGUUCUUGAAUUCAUCGAGAGUGAUGAUCGACUAAAGGGGCUAAGACAGGUGGAGUCACCUGUAAGUCCUGAGGAGGAAGCUAUCCAUCAUGGACACAGUAGUAGUUCUCCUCUGGCAGCAGGGGAGGAUGCACCGUUUCGAUGGGAUCAUGUUAGGGUUAAGUUGAAAAAAGAGCAGAUUGUUACUCUUGGAAUGCCUUCCGUGUCACCUAUUGAAAGAGUUGGGAAAUAUGUGAAUCCAAAGGAGUGGAAUGCAUUGAUUGAUGAUCCAGAUACUGUGGUGAUUGAUGUGCGAAAUAAUUAUGAAACUAGAAUUGGGAAGUUCAAAGCAGCAGUUGAUCCUUGUACCACAUCAUUUCGGGAAUUCCCUUCUUGGGUGGAAAAUAAGUUGCAAGUUGCAGACACAAAUGAGGUGAACGUAAAUCUUAUGGACGGAAACAAUGAUAGUGAAACAGAGAGCUCAACACCAAAAAUGCCGCAACGUGUUGCUAUGUACUGUACUGGAGGAAUUCGAUGUGAGAAAGCUUCAAGUUUUCUCCUCAGUAAAGGUUUCAAAGAGGUUUAUCACUUGGAAGGUGGAAUUCUAAGGUACCUCGAGGAAGUUCCAAAGUCAGAGAGCCGGUGGGUUGGUGAGUGUUUUGUUUUUGACAAGCGAGUCUCAGUCGAGCAUGGUUUGGCACAGGGAACUUUUAAGCUGUGCUAUGGAUGUAAGCAACCAGUGAGCGAUGCUGACAUGGAAGCCCCAGAAUGGGAGUAUGGAGUUUCUUGUCCAUACUGUUAUUCAUUAAAAUCUGAUGAAGAAAAAGAAAGGGCAAGAGCUCGACAGAGGCAGUUUGAGACUUGGGGAAUUAUUGGCGGUCCUGACAAGGGUCGCCGACCAACAUCUAAAUUAGAUAGUAGUACAAGGUACUCUAGCCAGCUUUCAAGCUCAAUUUAACCAGUUUUCUAGAUGAUGUACACAGGAUAAAUUAUUUUGUGGGAAUAUGCGCUCAAAGAACUCGACCUUGUUUUUUUACCUUUCGCCUUUUCUUCAAGCUGACCCUUCCCUUUUGCUACUAGUUGAUAUUGUCAAUGUCACGUUUCUGGGUAGAGAAUUUCAGAAUGACUAUUUGUGCGGCUUAAGGCCAGUAGUGAUUCAGUUUUCAGUGAUUUGGAGUUCUUAACUUUUUCUCUAAACAUGUGUUUGAAAUUUAUUUAUUUG